This 833-nucleotide long non-coding RNA is filed under the name Gossypium barbadense (sea-island cotton). RNAcentral's name for it is "long non-coding RNA (GBAR_LNC020093)". The record is from RNAcentral. Lineage: Eukaryota; Viridiplantae; Streptophyta; Magnoliopsida; Malvales; Malvaceae.
UCACAAUUAUAACGAAUUUUCAGAGCCAAACUAGUUAGGUUUCUUACAUUGAUUUGAUGCGAGUUGUACGUGCAAACGUCAUUCGACUUCACUAUUGAUUCGGAGCGUUUAAGUCAGAACCUAACACAUUUAAAUGCUGAAAAAUCAUUAACUAAUCCAUGACUAAAAUCUUUAAUUUGAUCAAUUAACAAUUUCCCCAAACAUUUAAACCUAAACUACACUCUAGUCUAUAAUCAACCACACUUAUACUUCCCGAAUUGUCAGAUCUGAGUCACUGAUUGAUCAAGAUUGAUUUUUUUCCUAAUUAUACAUGAUUAAAGGCUGAUUAGGAAGGGUUCAAUAACCCAAUACGUUUCUAGAAACAAAUGGAAGAAAAUAAAGAAACAAGAUCCCCCUUUCUUGAUCCCUUAGGCGCGCUCACCACCACCAACGGUGGCCAAAUUGGGGCUGAUUUAAAAGCAUGUUUAAAAACACUUGGAAGGCUGGAAAAUACCCUUUAAAAUUUUAAAAAUCACCCAAAUUCUAGAUCUAUAAUUUUGGGAUUUUAACUCACAAGACUCAUCAAGAAAAACCAAAGAAAAUGGCACUUACUCAAGUAAGAAGAAAGGGGCAACAAAUAAGGGCUGUCAAACGUUAAGAGAAUCAAUCGUGGGUCACCAAAGGUUGCUAUUGCUACUGUCAACUAGUGGUGCACAGGGUGUGACAGAAGCCAUUGAAUGACGAUUGCGUGCAGCAAAAAAUGAUGGUUGUCAAUUACGUCUAACGAAAGCCGAUGACUGCCAAUGCUAGCAGCAACAAGGGGAAAACAAAAGAAAAAUUGAAGAAAAGAGUGG